GGAAGCGGCUGGAGGAAGGGAGAAAGCAAAGGCUAGAAUCUCAGGAGUGGGAACGCUGGGUUGUAAGCCCGUGAGCCACAACUACUGAGCCUGCGCGCCACAACUAUUGAAGCCUGUGAGCCCUAGAGCCCGUGCGCCGCAACAACUGAAGGCCGCGCACUCUAGGGCCCGCGUGCCGCAAUUACUGAGCCCGUGUGCUGCAACUACUGAAGCCCACACGCCUAGGGCCUGUGCUCUGCAACAAGAGAAGCCACCGCAAUGAGAAGCCCAUGCACCGCAACGAAGAGUAGCCCCCGCUCACCGCAACUAGAGAAAGCCUGCUCACGGCAACGAAGACCCAACGCAGCCAAAAUAAAUAAAUAAAAUAAAUAAAUAAUAAAAUAAAAUAAAAUGGAUAACCAACAAGGACCUACUGUACAGCACAGGGAAC
Balaenoptera ricei (Rice's whale) is the source of this 430-nucleotide long non-coding RNA. RefSeq lists it as uncharacterized. The record is from RefSeq and is a predicted model, not a curated record. The transcript has 3 exons. NCBI's taxonomy places the organism in Eukaryota, Metazoa, Chordata, Mammalia, Artiodactyla, Balaenopteridae.